UCUGAGACGCAGCCCCACCAGAGAGGGGAGGGGGAACCGUGCCAAAAGAAAACUGGGGCCAAAAACGCGUCUGAGCAAAGCAACAAAAGGAGAAGGUGGCUACCAUGGAGCAGAGUGUGGGACAGAGCAGGCAGGUGUGCUGCCACCCACCCCUGGGUAGCAGGACAUGGGAAGGUAGAAAGCACGACAGAGGGUGUGGAUGCUACACAUACCAAUGUGUUCAUUGGGAAAAAGCUUCCUCUGAUUUGGAUUUAACCUCUGGCUGAGGAAACCUUUCUGCUCAUGGAAGUACCACCCAGAACGGCUUCUCUGAGCAGCUGGGCUGGGGCCGUCCCUGCCCAGACCUCACCUUGUACUGGAGAAGCACUGGGUGGGGUGUUUGCUCCUGCAGAUGCCCUGGCUGUCUCAUUAACUUGUUGGAAAAUAGGAUGUAACGUCAAAUGAGGCACCUGGAAGAGGUUUUUUUUUUUCCCUCCUGUUGCUGUUGGGCAUGUUGUGUUUGCGAUGCAGUUGUUAUGGAGCAAAGAAACUAGCAGAAACAUGACAAAGUUCGUUUAUGGGCAGCACAGUUUUACAGGGCUGGGUGAUUAUUUUACAGUUUAAAGCUGUUCCAAGGGAAUUCCUUGCACGGGAGGAUCUGUGGGCUGCCACGAGGCUUUACCGGGCACUCGUGUUCAUAAUGAACUUCAGCCUCCUUCAUGGCACAGCACAGGGACACCACCACGUUUAAUUUGAAGUGUAGAUGCGGGUGCAAAGGCAAAAAGGGGAGGGCCCGGGAAGUAAGCAGGUGUGGAGGUGGGAUGUGGGAGGGCUGGGCAGGAGUGUCACCUCUCCUUCACCUCCUGGGGAGAGCACAGCCCGGGGACACCUGCCCGGACAGGUAAAUCCCAUGCCCCAAACGCCUCCUCUUUGCACUGCAGCACCGGCAAAGUCACUGGGUGAAAACCAGCUUCUCCCGUUCACCCCCGACACACAACGUGACCCUUUGUGGCUCGAGUCUCAGCACUGGCCCUUCCGAUGGAUCCAGGACAGACUGACGUCCGUGUAGGGAGGCUGGUCCCUGGGGCCACACGUGCUGCUGGGGGCUGCUCCUGCUGAUGGUCCCUCGCUCCUGACACAUGGUUUUCUGCCCGGCCAGUGCCCAGGAGCAGAGCUCCUUCCUCCAGCCACAAAGGGAUUUAUUUCCCAGUUGACUGAUGAAGAGAGUAUUUCCCAUUUCUUCACUCUUGAAUCUGCUGACAGCAUCUCUUGGCAAGUGAUGGAUAUUGGAGAUGAUUUAUAGUUCUUUGUUACACAAAUGCCUCUGCAUUCUUCUCUGUCCUCUUGCAACAACCGUUCGUCACCUCUCCCAGCAAAAAAGCAAGAGCUUCAGCCCAGGAACAGCCCGAAGGAGGCGGCAUCAAGCGUUUCUCCUGCACUGGCUUUGUUCGCUGUAAAUGCACCAUCGGGGACACAAACGAGGGAAGCGGCAGCAUCACGGUGCUCUGCACCCACCCGGGUCCCCGUGCGGCUGCUUCCACUCGUCCGCCGGCAAGUCAAAAGGUUGGCAAAGAAAAACCGCCAUAAAUCAGGCAGAUAGGGGUUGUGGGGAGGAUUGUGUUUAUGUGAUUUUUCAUCUCAAAGUUUGUAAUUAAAGUAGUGAGUGCUACAGGAGGAACAGCUGCUGCCUGCACCUCUUAGGGUUCUCAGAUUUUGGCAACAUAAAUGUGCAGUUCUUGAGACCUUUAUUACAUAAAAUAGUUUUUGUAAUGCUGUUGUUGCUUAAUUGGAUUUCUGUUUGUUUUACUUCAAGAACACCAGGAAAAAUACCUGUACUGUUUGAUCUGAUACAGAGUACUAGGAGACUUACCUGUACUAUUGGGUCUCACAGUUUAUCAUAAUGAAUAAAUGCAUGAAUUAAAUAAAUUCUGAUCUUAA
Columba livia (rock pigeon) is the source of this 1917-nucleotide long non-coding RNA. RefSeq lists it as uncharacterized. The transcript is spliced from 2 exons. NCBI's taxonomy places the organism in Eukaryota, Metazoa, Chordata, Aves, Columbiformes, Columbidae. The record is from RefSeq and is a predicted model, not a curated record.